AUGGAACGCUGGCGGCAGGCUUAACACAUGCAAGUCGAGCGGGGGAAGGUAGCUUGCUACCGGACCUAGCGGCGGACGGGUGAGUAAUGCUUAGGAAUCUGCUUAGUAGUGGGGGACAACAUCUCGAAAAGGAUGCGAAUACCGCAUACGUCCUACGGGAGAAAGCAGGGGAUCUUCUGACCUUGCGCUAGUCGAUGAGCCUAUGUCGGAGUAGCCAGAUGGUGGGGUAAAGGCCUACCAAGGCGACGAUCUGUAGCGGGUCUGAGAGGAUGAUCCGCCACACUGGGACUGAGACACGGCCCAGACUCCUACGGGAGGCAGCAGUAGGGAAUAUUGGACAAUGGGGGGAACCCUGAUCCAGCCAUGCCGCGUGUGUGAAGAAGGCCUUAUGGUUGUAAAGCACUUUAAGCGAGGAGGAGGCUAAUCUAGUUAAUACCUAGGGAUAGUGGACGUUACUCGCAGAAUAAGCACCGGCUAACUCUGUGCCAGCCGCCGCGGUAA
This 501-nucleotide ribosomal RNA is filed under the name uncultured bacterium. Its description in RNAcentral is "partial 16S ribosomal RNA". It matches the Rfam family "Bacterial small subunit ribosomal RNA", at positions 31 to 523 of the family's 1533-position model. The record is from RNAcentral.